GAUGAACGCUGGCGGCGUGCCUAAUACAUGCAAGUAGAACGCUGAAGGAGGAGCUUGCUUCUCCGGAUGAGUUGCGAACGGGUGAGUAACGCGUAGGUAACCUGCCUGGUAGCGGGGGAUAACUAUUGGAAACGAUAGCUAAUACCGCAUAACAGUAGAUAUCGCAUGAUAUCUGCUUGAAAGGUGCAAUUGCAUCACUACCAGAUGGACCUGCGUUGUAUUAGCUAGUUGGUGAGGUAACGGCUCACCAAGGCGACGAUACAUAGCCGACCUGAGAGGGGGAACGGCCACACUGGGACUGAGACACGGCCCAGACUCCUACGGGAGGCAGCAGUAGGGAAUCGUCGGCAAUGGACGGAAGUCUGACCGAGCAACGCCGCGUGAGUGAAGAAGGUUUUCGGAUCGUAAAGCUCUGUUGUAAGAGAAGAACGAGGGUGGGAGUGGAAAGUUCACACUGUGACGGUAUCUUACCAGAAAGAGACGGCUAACUACGUG
Molecule: ribosomal RNA, 495 nt
Filed under: uncultured bacterium
Lineage: Bacteria
Description: partial 16S ribosomal RNA
Rfam family: Bacterial small subunit ribosomal RNA
Source: RNAcentral